This 207-nucleotide ribosomal RNA is filed under the name uncultured bacterium. RNAcentral describes it as "partial 16S ribosomal RNA". It matches the Rfam family "Bacterial small subunit ribosomal RNA", at positions 568 to 774 of the family's 1533-position model. The record is from RNAcentral.
CACGUAGGCGGAUCGUUAAGUGAGGGGUGAAAUCCCGGGGCUCAACCCCGGAACUGCCUUUCAUACUGGCGAUCUGGAGUUCGAGAGAGGUGAGUGGAAUUCCGAGUGUAGAGGUGAAAUUCGUAGAUAUUCGGAGGAACACCAGUGGCGAAGGCGGCUCACUGGCUCGAUACUGACGCUGAGGUGCGAAAGCGUGGGGAGCAAACA